CUGCCGUGUAAGUCCAUCGGGAAAUCGACCAGCUCAACUGGUCGGCGUCCGGUGGAAACUGCACGGCUUGGGGCCGAGAGACUCGACGGGUACGUCCGGGGUAGGAGUGAAAUCCCGUAAUCCUGGACGGACCACCAAUGGCGAAAGCACGUCGAGAGACCGGACCCGACGGUGAGGGACGAAAGCCAGGGUCUCGAACCGGAUUAGAUACCCGGGUAGUCCUGGCUGUAAACGAUGCUCGCUAGGUAUGCCACGCACUAUGAGUGCGUGGUGUGCCGCAGUGAAGACGAUAAGCGAGCCGCCUGGGAA
RNAcentral lists this ribosomal RNA (309 nucleotides) under uncultured archaeon. RNAcentral's name for it is "bacterial SSU rRNA". It matches the Rfam family "Archaeal small subunit ribosomal RNA", at positions 526 to 834 of the family's 1478-position model. The record is from RNAcentral.